This 497-nucleotide ribosomal RNA is filed under the name uncultured bacterium. RNAcentral's name for it is "partial 16S ribosomal RNA". It matches the Rfam family "Bacterial small subunit ribosomal RNA", at positions 28 to 507 of the family's 1533-position model. The record is from RNAcentral.
GAUGAACGCUGGCGGCGUGCCUAAUACAUGCAAGUCGAGCGAACGGACGAGAAGCUUUCUUCUCUGAUGUUAGCGGCGGACGGGUGAGUAACACGUGGAUAACCUACCUAUAAGACUGGGAUAACUUCGGGAAACCGGAGCUAAUACCGGAUAAUAUUUUGAACCGCAUGGUUCAAAAGUGAAAUACGGUCUUGCUGUCACUUAUAGAUGGAUCCGCGCUGCAUUAGCUAGUUGGUAAGGUAACGGCUUACCAAGGCAACGAUGCAUAGCCGACCUGAGAGGGUGAUCGGCCACACUGGAACUGAGACACGGUCCAGACUCCUACGGGAGGCAGCAGUAGGGAAUCUUCCGCAAUGGGCGAAAGCCUGACGGAGCAACGCCGCGUGAGUGAUGAAGGUCUUCGGAUCGUAAAACUCUGUUAUUAGGGAAGAACAUAUGUGUAAGUAACUGUGCACAUCUUGACGGUACCUAAUCAGAAAGCCACGGCUAACUACGUG